This 1012-nucleotide ribosomal RNA is filed under the name Morchella sp. Mes-22. Its description in RNAcentral is "eukaryotic LSU rRNA". The stretch from base 455 to 608 matches the Rfam family "5.8S ribosomal RNA". Lineage: Eukaryota; Fungi; Ascomycota; Pezizomycetes; Pezizales; Morchellaceae. The record is from RNAcentral.
ACCCUAUGCGCUCCCUCCCCACGCCUUAGGCAGCAACCCCCCGCAUUGAGAGGUGGAGCCGGAUCUUAGCAAUCAAUGCUCCGCAUCCAUCCACACAGUUGGGUGCCGGUGCGGAGUAGACUAUUGCAGCUAAAGGAGGAUUCCCUGGCAGGUGGCGGACAACACAUGCCCGGCUCCUUACGCCUUCCGCUCGGUUGGAUCCGUCUGCGUAGCCGCUCAUUGCUGUUGAUUCCCCUGGGGCUGGAGGUGUAACGACCUCCAGCGACCCCCAUCGACGGCGUGGAAACCCAUCGUUUGGCACCCUCUCGCCAUUGCCCCAACCAAAACCCUCUGUGUACCCUUCCCUGUUGCUUCCCCCGGGCACCUGGCUCCGGCCAGUCGGGGGGAGAAACCAAGCAAAAACCCUUUUCGCAAAACAGACGUCUGAAUGUAAAAAAACAAAACAAAAAGUUAAAACUUUCAACAACGGAUCUCUUGGUUCCCACAUCGAUGAAGAACGCAGCGAAAUGCGAUAAGUAAUGUGAAUUGCAGAAUUCAGUGAAUCAUCGAAUCUUUGAACGCACAUUGCGCCCUCUGGUAUUCCGGAGGGCAUGCCUGUUCGAGCGUCAUAAAUACCGCUCCCCCUCGGAUUGCUUGCGGUCCCUGGGGGGUUCUGGCAAUGUGGAUUCCCCGUGCUUUGAGGGCAUGCGAACGGGCUCCCAGUGCUGAAAGACAUAAUGUUCCCAGCCGAAACCGGUGAUUAAUUUCAUCGGCAGGAUUCGUGGCAGGCAGACUGAGGGCGUCAACCGUGGAGUCAUGAGGAUAGAAACCUCCCCCUUUGCAAGUAACAUUGCUCUGGCAGUUAGAUCUGCAGGCCUGCCGGUCUGGGGAUGGACCUCCCACUCGCAGGCGUCACGGCCACGAUAGCGGGCGUUAAACGGAAUCCGAUCCGCCUUCAUUGGUGGUUGAAGAUCCUUGUGGGCUAGCAACCCCUAAACACAUUUGACCUCGGAUCAGGGUAGGAAUACCAACU